UCGGGGCGGGGAGGAGCCGGGAUAGCCAAUCAGAUAGGCUCAGGCUGGCUUUCCCAAUUACAAAGCGCGAGAUGGGCGGGGUUUGCAUAGCCUAUCCCAGUGCGGCAGGGGCGGGGUGACUCCACAAUACCCAAUCACAUGGUGUGAAGCGCACGCAGUUGCGUAGCAGCUGACGUCCCCGUUGCCCAGUGGUGGCCAGGGAGAGCCGCAGAGGCUGCACUGAUUGGAGGAGAGGGCGGGACUGCAAGUGGGCGCCUCUGAGCGUGGAAACCCCGGGCGGUGUCGGACAAUCAUUUUUAAUGACAGUCUCUAACAUGUUCUCAAGACCCGUUUUUCUUACUUUGCUGAGCUGUAACUCUCCAUUAUUAUUGAUGGAAACGGUUUUCAUUGGUUUGGGGCUGUGUGAUCAGUUUGAUGUUCACUGACAUUUGCUGGUUAAAAAACUAGCCCUGUUGUUAUGGUCCCCACACUAGACCCCGUACCAGAGAAAGCCCCUAACCCAAAGACCUCACAAUCCAAAUAACAAGCUCAGAAGACUAGAGAAGCCGAGAGGCUCAGAGGAAUGUGGUAACUUUCAGACGCCCUGAUCGUCGGAGCUCUGGGCACCUGGGACCCCUGCAACGAGCGCAUGCUGUGGACCUGCGCGAUCAGUCAAUGCUACACAUGGGUCGUAUGGCACCUCGUGGUCUCAGACACCAUCCGAUGGUCCAGGGACAUCUGCAUCGAACACAGCAUGAGCCACUGACAGUACCAGGAGGCAUGAGCCGGAGUGACAUCAUGCAUCAACUACAAGAAAGGGAUCGAGAAACUUUCUGUUGGACCAUAUGAACUGGAACCAUAAACUCACUGAAUGUUAAAUCUUACCAAAUGAGGGUCAAUCCAGCCUCAUCAUCGUAUCCGCUCAUUAUACUCCACAUCUGAACAUAGCCAUUAUACGAACAACAUACCCUCAUAUCUCAGUGUCUGUACUUUGACCCAUUAACCUUUUAUCCCCAAUUGGGGAUAUUGCAGAUUAUGUAUUCCUUACGCCAUCCAAUCUUAAACCGAACUUCACACCCCUUGAUAAUCUGCACGUUAUUCCUUGAUAACCAGACACUUCUACGCUUAAACUCUGUACCGUUCACUUUUUUUAACAUCAUCUUAAAUAAAAUUUUCCCUCUUC
Long non-coding RNA from Mauremys reevesii (Reeves's turtle), 1162 nucleotides. RefSeq lists it as uncharacterized. The transcript is spliced from 2 exons. The record is from RefSeq and is a predicted model, not a curated record. NCBI's taxonomy places the organism in Eukaryota, Metazoa, Chordata, Testudines, Geoemydidae.